GUUCUUGAAGUCUGGUGAUGCUGCAGUCAUUGUCAUUCAUAUGGCUCCUGGCAAACCCAUGUGUGUUGACAGUAUCUCAGACUAUCCUCCUCUGAGUCAUUUUGCUCUUUAUGAUAUGAGAUAGACAUCAUAUCUUGAUUAUGUGUCAUCAAAGCAAGGGACAAGAAGGCUGUUGGAGCUGGCAAGGUCACCAAGUUUGACCAGAAAUCUCAGAAG
Molecule: long non-coding RNA, 216 nt
Filed under: Homo sapiens (human)
Lineage: Eukaryota; Metazoa; Chordata; Mammalia; Primates; Hominidae
Description: non-protein coding lnc-IL13RA2-4:1
Source: RNAcentral